RNAcentral lists this ribosomal RNA (2849 nucleotides) under Vibrio parahaemolyticus. RNAcentral's name for it is "23S ribosomal RNA". It matches the Rfam family "Bacterial large subunit ribosomal RNA". Lineage: Bacteria; Pseudomonadati; Pseudomonadota; Gammaproteobacteria; Vibrionales; Vibrionaceae. The record is from RNAcentral.
GGUUAAGUGACUAAGCGUACACGGUGGAUGCCUUGGCAGUCAGAGGCGAUGAAAGACGUAGUAACUUGCGAUAAGCCCAGAUUAGGUAGUAACAACCAUUUGAGUCUGGGAUUUCUGAAUGGGGAAACCCACGUGCAUAAGCACGUAUCCUUACCUGAAUACAUAGGGUAAGGAGGCGAACCGGGGGAACUGAAACAUCUAAGUACCCCGAGGAAAAGAAAUCAACCGAGAUUCCGAAAGUAGCGGCGAGCGAAAUUGGACUAGCCCUUAAGCUUUACACGCGUUAGACGAACGGUCUGGAAAGUCCGACGAUACAGGGUGAUAGUCCCGUAGUUGACGACGUGUGUUCAGUGAAAUCGAGUAGGGCGGGACACGUGAUAUCCUGUCUGAAUAUGGGGGGACCAUCCUCCAAGGCUAAAUACUACUGACUGACCGAUAGUGAACCAGUACCGUGAGGGAAAGGCGAAAAGAACCCCUGUGAGGGGAGUGAAAUAGAACCUGAAACCGUGUACGUACAAGCAGUAGGAGCAGGCUUUGUCCUGUGACUGCGUACCUUUUGUAUAAUGGGUCAGCGACUUAUAUUCAGUGGCAAGGUUAACCAUCUAGGGGAGCCGUAGGGAAACCGAGUCUUAACUGGGCGUUCAGUCUCUGGAUAUAGACCCGAAACCAGGUGAUCUAGCCAUGGGCAGGUUGAAGGUUGAGUAACAUCAACUGGAGGACCGAACCGACUAAUGUUGAAAAAUUAGCGGAUGACUUGUGGCUAGGGGUGAAAGGCCAAUCAAACCUGGAGAUAGCUGGUUCUCCCCGAAAGCUAUUUAGGUAGCGCCUCGGACGAAUACUACUGGGGGUAGAGCACUGUUAAGGCUAGGGGGUCAUCCCGACUUACCAACCCUUUGCAAACUCCGAAUACCAGUAAGUACUAUCCGGGAGACACACGGCGGGUGCUAACGUCCGUCGUGGAGAGGGAAACAACCCAGACCGCCAGCUAAGGUCCCAAAUUACUACUAAGUGGGAAACGAUGUGGGAAGGCUCAGACAGCCAGGAUGUUGGCUUAGAAGCAGCCAUCAUUUAAAGAAAGCGUAAUAGCUCACUGGUCGAGUCGGCCUGCGCGGAAGAUGUAACGGGGCUAAGUAGUAAACCGAAGCUGCGGCAAUGUGCUUUUGCACAUUGGGUAGGGGAGCGUUCUGUAAGCGGUUGAAGGUGUGUGGUAACGCAUGCUGGACGUAUCAGAAGUGCGAAUGCUGACAUGAGUAACGAUAAAGGGGGUGAAAAACCUCCUCGCCGGAAGACCAAGGGUUCCUGUCCAACGUUAAUCGGGGCAGGGUAAGUCGACCCCUAAGGCGAGGCCGAAAGGCGUAGUCGAUGGGAAACGGGUUAAUAUUCCCGUACUUCUUACAAUUGCGAUGGGGGGACGGAGAAGGCUAGGUGGGCCUGGCGACGGUUGUCCAGGUUCAAGUGCGUAGGCUUAAGAGUUAGGUAAAUCCGGCUCUUUUUAAGGCUGAGACACGACGUCGAGCACCUACGGGUGUGAAGUCAUUGAUGCCAUGCUUCCAGGAAAAGCCUCUAAGCUUCAGAUUGUAAGGAAUCGUACCCCAAACCGACACAGGUGGUCGGGUAGAGAAUACCAAGGCGCUUGAGAGAACUCGGGUGAAGGAACUAGGCAAAAUGGUACCGUAACUUCGGGAGAAGGUACGCUCUUGAUGGUGAAGUCCCUUGCGGAUGGAGCUGACGAGAGUCGCAGAUACCAGGUGGCUGCAACUGUUUAUUAAAAACACAGCACUGUGCAAAAUCGUAAGAUGACGUAUACGGUGUGACGCCUGCCCGGUGCCGGAAGGUUAAUUGAUGGGGUUAGACUUCGGUCGAAGCUCUUGAUCGAAGCCCCGGUAAACGGCGGCCGUAACUAUAACGGUCCUAAGGUAGCGAAAUUCCUUGUCGGGUAAGUUCCGACCUGCACGAAUGGCGUAAUGAUGGCCACGCUGUCUCCACCCGAGACUCAGUGAAAUUGAAAUCGCUGUGAAGAUGCAGUGUACCCGCGGCUAGACGGAAAGACCCCGUGAACCUUUACUACAGCUUGGCACUGAACAUUGACCCUACAUGUGUAGGAUAGGUGGGAGGCUUUGAAGCACGUACGCCAGUAUGUGUGGAGCCGUCCUUGAAAUACCACCCUUGUAGUGUUGAUGUUCUAACGUUGACCCCUUAUCGGGGUUGCGGACAGUGCCUGGUGGGUAGUUUGACUGGGGCGGUCUCCUCCCAAAGAGUAACGGAGGAGCACGAAGGUGGGCUAAUCACGGUUGGACAUCGUGAGGUUAGUGCAAUGGCAUAAGCCCGCUUGACUGCGAGAAUGACAAUUCGAGCAGGUGCGAAAGCAGGUCAUAGUGAUCCGGUGGUUCUGAAUGGAAGGGCCAUCGCUCAACGGAUAAAAGGUACUCCGGGGAUAACAGGCUGAUACCGCCCAAGAGUUCAUAUCGACGGCGGUGUUUGGCACCUCGAUGUCGGCUCAUCACAUCCUGGGGCUGAAGUCGGUCCCAAGGGUAUGGCUGUUCGCCAUUUAAAGUGGUACGCGAGCUGGGUUUAGAACGUCGUGAGACAGUUCGGUCCCUAUCUGCCGUGGGCGUUGGAAGAUUGAAGGGGGCUGCUCCUAGUACGAGAGGACCGGAGUGGACGAACCUCUGGUGUUCGGGUUGUGUCGCCAGACGCAUUGCCCGGUAGCUAAGUUCGGAAUCGAUAACCGCUGAAAGCAUCUAAGCGGGAAGCGAGCCCUGAGAUGAGUCUUCCCUGAUACUUUAAGUAUCCUAAAGGGUUGUCGGAGACUACGACGUUGAUAGGUCAGGUGUGUAAGUGCUGUGAGG